This 253-nucleotide ribosomal RNA is filed under the name uncultured bacterium. RNAcentral describes it as "partial 16S ribosomal RNA". It matches the Rfam family "Bacterial small subunit ribosomal RNA", at positions 524 to 776 of the family's 1533-position model. RNAcentral also lists the same sequence under 1 other name. The record is from RNAcentral.
UACGAAGGGUGCGAGCGUUAAUCGGAAUUACUGGGCGUAAAGAGCACGUAGGCGGUUUGAUAAGCGGAAUGUGAAAUCCCCGGGCUUAACCUGGGAACUGCAUUCCGAACUGUCAGGCUAGAGUAUGAUAGAGGUGAGCGGAAUUUCCUGUGUAGCGGUGAAAUGCGUAGAUAUAGGAAGGAACAUCAGUUGCGAAGGCGGCUCACUGGAUCAAUACUGACGCUGAGGUGCGAAAGCGUGGGUAGCGAACAGG